AAUCAACGCUGGCGGCGUGCCUCAGACAUGCAAGUCGAACGCUGCUGUUCGCCUUCGGGUGGACAGCGGAGUGGCGCACGGGUGAGUAACACGUAGGUAAUCUACCUUUGGGUGGGGAAUAACAGCCGGAAACGGCUGCUAAUACCGCAUAAUGCAGCGGCAUCACAUGAUGACAGUUGUUAAAGCGGGGGAUCGUAAGACCUCGCGCCUGAAGAGGAGCCUGCGGCAGAUUAGGUAGUUGGUGAGGUAAUGGCUCACCAAGCCUGCGAUCUGUAACCGGCCUGAGAGGGCGGUCGGUCACACUGACACUGACAUACGGGUCAGACUCCGUACGGGAGGCAGC
This 343-nucleotide ribosomal RNA is filed under the name uncultured bacterium. RNAcentral describes it as "bacterial SSU rRNA". It matches the Rfam family "Bacterial small subunit ribosomal RNA", at positions 32 to 352 of the family's 1533-position model. The record is from RNAcentral.